Molecule: small RNA, 1181 nt
Filed under: Rattus norvegicus (Norway rat)
Lineage: Eukaryota; Metazoa; Chordata; Mammalia; Rodentia; Muridae
Description: uncharacterized LOC102555773
Source: RNAcentral
UCUAGGCCAUCCAAGGCUACAUAUCAGCACUGUCAAGACAGCCAGCCAGCCAGCCAGCCAGCCAGCCAGCCAGCCAGCCAAGAAAUUCCAAACAAAACAGCCCCAAGCAAAAACCAAAACAAAACUAUAAGCAUUUGGAAUUUGGUAUUUAAGAUGCUCCAGCCAUGCUCCUGAUGGGAGAAGGAUAAUUACGGUCUUGAAAGCUUCAGUUUUUCCAAGAUCCAAACUACUUAGAGAACAGUUUCUGUUUUCAACCUCCAUCCAUUCUACUCUUGUUGAAGCCUCUGACGGGGACAUUUGGCACCUACAUUGCUGAACUGGAGGAAAGUGACCUGUCACAACAGCAUCCCUGUACAGACACCAGGUGCCCAGUUAAGUUGCCUAGAGACACCAGCAAACCCAAAGGUAAUGGUUCAUUAUGUCUCGGAAACCAUUUGCCAAAUUGGUUGUGGGUAAGAAGUAAAGAUUUUGAGCUCAGCGAGGACAUCAAACUGUUCUUUGUGGACCAGAAAAACACCAGGCAGAAUCGGGGUAUUUCAUAGCCUCCAGGACAAUGUUUGAUCCCUCAGACACUGUUGGCUCUUUUCCAGCUUCCUCUGGAGAGUAAACAGGGGCAGAAUAGGCUAUGGAGUCCAAAAGGCGGCUUCGAUUGCGCCAGCUCCCUGUUUGCGUAAGUAUCCAUCCAAGCAUGGACUGGAAGCCCUGGAGACCCGCUGGUGGAUCACACCACAGAAACAACCUUCAAAUUCUAACUGAUGCCCGAUGGACAUCAGCUAUCAACAAAUGUCAAAUGAAUCCAGACGACUGCCCUCGAUCUUUAGGUUCGACAGAACACUGACUGGCAGGGUCUGCAGGAUGCACAGUCUACACACAGGCCUCGUUAACAUCAACCACGGAAGAGGGAAGAUGGGGCAACAACUUCUAACUAAAGCUGUGCCUCUAUCUGUAGUUUCACUCAGGAUUAAAUAGAAUGAAGUUUGUCAGCUGAGUUAAAAUGACUGAACAAGUAUCUUAACAUUUUCAUGGAAAAAAAUCCCAAAAGGACACAAUCUACAAGAAAGAAAAACUAUCAGAAAUAGGUGGGUUGGAGAGAUGGUUAAGAAUUUUGACUGCUCUAUCAGAGGAACCCAGUUUGAUUCCCAACACCCACAGUCAUAAAAUAAAAAUAAAAUAAAUUCCCA